AACGAACGCUGGCGGCGUGCCUAACACAUGCAAGUCGAGCGGGAAAGUCUCCUUCGGGAGGCGAGUAUAGCGGCGCACGGGUGAGUAACGCGUAGGUAACCUGCCCCUAAGUCUGGGAUAACUUGUCGAAAGACGAGCUAAUACCGGAUAAUUCCUCCCGACUAACGUCGGGGUGUAAAGAUGGCCUCUACUUGUAAGCUAUCGCUUAUUGAUGGGCCUGCGUGCCAUUAGCUAGNGGUGAGGUAAUGGCUCACCAAGGCGGAGAUGGCUAGCUGGUCUGAGAGGAUGAUCAGCCACACUGGGACUGAGACACGGCCCAGACUCCUACGGGAGGCAGCAGUGGGAAUAUUGCGCAAUGGGCGAAAGCCUGACGCAGCGACGCCGCGUGGGUGAUGAAGGCC
RNAcentral lists this ribosomal RNA (401 nucleotides) under uncultured bacterium. RNAcentral's name for it is "bacterial SSU rRNA". It matches the Rfam family "Bacterial small subunit ribosomal RNA", at positions 29 to 416 of the family's 1533-position model. The record is from RNAcentral.